RNAcentral lists this unclassified non-coding RNA (374 nucleotides) under Patiria miniata (bat star). RNAcentral's name for it is "uncharacterized LOC119737836, transcript variant X1". Lineage: Eukaryota; Metazoa; Echinodermata; Asteroidea; Valvatida; Asterinidae. The record is from RNAcentral.
UAGUUGGUUGGUACGCGGACUUCUGUCCGUUGUACAGCGCGCGAGUAGCGUGGCUGGUUGGUACCCAGCGCGGGUAUAUAAGCGCGUGUCGCGCGCGCACUCGCUCUCUUCCAUUUCACUCGUUCAUGGAUUGCACUCUCCUAUUGCGCUGCUCACGUUGUGGGAUUUAGCUGUAAAUUGUGGCGCGAAGCGUAGCACAGUUCCCGCUCAGAGACUUGGAGUUGCUGAAGCGUGUGCAGUACAGCUGUGGUCAGUCUCUCACUCAGGAAGAGCACUGGUUUAGUUCCGGUUUCAAUCCAGUCUCUGUCAAAACCGAUAUGUGCGUAUGUUCAAGUACGCCGACUGGACUCCCCUACUGUGAUAUGGUAUCGCCC